Molecule: ribosomal RNA, 482 nt
Filed under: uncultured bacterium
Lineage: Bacteria
Description: partial 16S ribosomal RNA
Rfam family: Bacterial small subunit ribosomal RNA
Source: RNAcentral
AGUGAACGCUGGCGGUAGGCCUAACACAUGCAAGUCGAACGGCAACAGAGUAAGGGAUUGUGACGACUGGCGGCGGGUGGCGGAAUACAUCGGAACGUGCCGGAUCGUGGUUUUUCACGGGGCGAAAGGUUGGCUAAUACCGCAUACGACCUAAGGAUGAAAGCGGGGGAAAUUCGGACAUCUCGGGAACUGAGCGGCCGAUGUCAGAUUAGGUAGUUGGUGGGAUAAAAGCCGACCAAGGCGACGAUCGGUAGCUGGUCUGAGAGGAUGAUCAGCCACACUGGGACUGAGACACGGCCCAGACUCCUACGGGAGGCAGCAGUGGGGAAUUUUGGACAAUGGGCGAAAGCCUGAUCCAGCCAUACCGCGUGCAGGAUGAAGGCCUUCGGGUUGUAAACCGCUUUUGUUCGGAAAGAAAAGCAUCUUGCUAAUAACCAGCGGUUCUGACGGUACCGUAAGAAUAAGCACCGGCUAACUUCGUG